GAUUCGUGAGAUUUUCGCGGUGUAGUGUUUCGUUCGUUUUAAAUGUUGAAAAAUAUACCAAGAAAUGUUUGAAUGUCCGCUGAGCAUCACCCAACUACCACCCACCGCCCACCGGACAGCUAGCAACCACACCACACAGUUCCGCUACUCACCACCAGACAUCGCAGGCUUAAGGAUAAGGCGGCCAUGAGGGGUGGCGUAUAAGGAGCCAUGAUGGGGCGAAUUUAGUCAAAGCGGGAAAAUCUUGGUCGGGGAGUCUGAAAAGGUCAGACGCCAUUGCUACAGAUCACUACCAAACUGCAAGCCAAAUUGAGCAGACGUAUGAAAAAUUGUUGAGUGAAAAUUCCAAACUACUAAAGAAAAGUUCAUAGUGAGAGACAGUGGAGAGUAAGAAACAGUGGAGAAAGCUGACCAACGUAGAAUAUCCAGGACCCCUUGGUUUCUUGGUGUAGUCCUUGGAGUCCGUGUAGAGAGACCCGAAAGUCAUUGCGUGGACCUACCGGCUCCCAGUCAAGCGCAGUGCUCGACCCGAAACUGCGAACGUAGGACGGAACCCUAACGGGAGAGUACCGCCCACCACAGUGCCGUUACCAACUGUGAGUGCCGCCAUUUUGCCCGGAGCUUCGCGGCAUCGUCAAGCCAGCGACCGCGAACGCUCGGCAGUUAGGCCACGAACGGAAGCAAACGAGGAAGAGGAAGGAAGCCGUCGUAGUGUCGAGGGACGAAAGGAACGAGCCAGCGACGAGGAAGGAAAGUGGAGAAAGUGGUUGCGGAAAGGAAGAAGGGGCCCCGCCGACCGUAAAAGGGAAGAAGAAGCAGAUAGGAAGUUAAGGUAGGAGAUAGGCUGUAAGGAAGUGGGAGGAAUAUAGGUACCUGUGUGCAAAAAGUUUUAAUAAAGUGGCAGAAGUGUUUGCAAUUCGGUA
This is a long non-coding RNA of Aedes albopictus (Asian tiger mosquito), 923 nucleotides long. RefSeq lists it as uncharacterized. The record is from RefSeq and is a predicted model, not a curated record. The transcript has 2 exons. NCBI's taxonomy places the organism in Eukaryota, Metazoa, Arthropoda, Insecta, Diptera, Culicidae.